GUCUACGGCCAUACCACCCUGAACGCGCCCUAUCUCCUCUGAUCUCGGAAGCUAAGCAGGGUCGGGCCUGGUUAGUACUUGGAUGGGAGAUCCGAGUUCUUUUUUUUUUAAGUC
RNAcentral lists this ribosomal RNA (114 nucleotides) under Mustela putorius furo (domestic ferret). Lineage: Eukaryota; Metazoa; Chordata; Mammalia; Carnivora; Mustelidae. The record is from RNAcentral.